UUCAAUUAUAACAGGUUAUGGGCCUUAGUCACGUUUGAAAAAAAUAUUCGGCAAAACAAAAUAGAUACAUUUUUUAAUAUUGAAAACUAGUGACGUUUGUGAAAAAAAAUUAAAAUGGCUGGUAAUAACAUAGCUUUUCCGCUAGAAAGAUUGCGUGGACGCGAAAACUUUGAUGUUUGGAAGAGGCAAGCGCAAUCAUAUCUGGUCAUUAAAGGGUGCUGGAAGGCAUGUGUUGAUAAUACCGCUGAUGCUGAAUUGAAUGCGAGAGCUUUAGCCGAGAUAACAUUGAUGAUUGAACCAGACAAUUACGGCCACAUUGCAACUUCAACUACCGCGAAAAAUGCCUGGAGUGCAUUGAUGAAUGCGUACGAAGAUACGGGCCUUACCAGAAAAGUUGAAUUGCUGAAGCAAUUUGUGAACAUCAAGCUACAGAACUAUGGAUCCAUUCAGGAAUACGUCAAUGACAUCGUUAUAGUGGCUAUUAAAGUGAAAAAUGCUGGCUUAAACAUUGACGAUGAGUUGACUGCAUCUCUAAUGUUAGCUGGAUUAACGGAUGACUUUAAACCGCUUGUGAUGGCCGUGGAAAAUACCAAGGAGAAAUUGACGGUGGAUAAGGUGAAGAAUGUUCUACUUCAAGAUGCGAAAUUCGAUCGAGCUCCAGAAAAAGAAUCGGCGUUACAAUCUAAAGGUAUCAAGAAAGGUAAGAAGCAAAUCAAAUGCUACAAUUGCAGUGGACUUGGACACAUCUCAAGAAAUUGUCCCAGCAAAUUGAAGCCAAAUGACAAUGGAGCUACAAGGAAGCAUGAAAAGAAGUCGGAUGUUUUAUUUGCUACAACUACCGAUGUGAGCGCGUGUGCAAAAGCUACGGAAUCCACUUCAAGUUCAGAUUGUUUAAAUGCCUGGUACGUUGAUAGUGGAGCAAGCAACCACAUGACGAAUGAGAAGAACCACAUGUACAACAUCCGUGAUGUUUUUAAUAAAAAGGUGAUUAUUGCGAAUAAGCAUGAACUCGUAGUGGACUCCAUUGGAUAUGUUGAUAUUGAAGUUGGCUCUGGAAAAAAUAAGAGAUGUGUUACAAUCAAAGACGUGGAGUAUGUUCCAGAUUUGUGUACCAACUUACUCUCCGUUCGACAAAUGGCUAAGAAUGGAAAAAGGGUGACUUUUGAAGGUGAAAAAUGCCGCAUUUCUGAUAAAAAUGGACGUGUUAUAGCAACGGCAACUGCGCAGAAUCAAUUGUACCGGUUAGAAUGCAAUUCGAAAGAGGAAAAGGGUAAAGCUUUUACCAUGGCCAAUGAUUUCAAUUUGUGGCACCGAAGGAUGGGGCAUAUCUGUAAUGCGAAACUGGGUGAUGUCAAGAGCGCAAAUGUUGGCAUAAAUUUUGGCAAAGAAUGUUCUGAACCAUGUGUUGUCUGCGUGAAGGGAAAGCAAACCCGAAAAGUGAGUAGAGAAGUCGGUACUCAAGCCAAAGAGCUAUUGGAAAUUAUUCAUUCGGAUGUUGUUGGUCCACUAAAAGAAAGUUCGUUCUCGGGAGCUCGUUUUUUGUUGACAUUUGUGGAUGACUACUCAAGAAAACUGUUUGUCUAUCCAAUCAAGAAAAAGUCUGAGGUAUUUCCGAAAUUUUUAGAAUUCAAGGCUUUAGUGGAAAACCAGUGUUCUAAAAAAAUCAAGAUUCUACGAUCGGAUAAUGGGGGUGAGUACACCGGCAAACAUUUUUCUGAAUUCUUGGAAAAAAGUGGAAUAAUACAUCAAAAAACAUGUCCAUAUACACCCGAGCAAAAUGGUGUAGCCGAGCGAAUAAAUAGGACGAUUAUAGAAAGGGUAAGAUGUAUGCUUAUCGACAGUGGAUUAGAUCAACGUUUUUGGGCAGAAGCUGCUUCUACCGCAUCGUACUUGAUAAAUAGAGUGCCAUGCCGAGGAAAUGAAGGAUGUCCCGAAGAACUAUGGUCGGGUCGAAAACCAAAUUUGAAGCAUCUUAGAGUCUUCGGAUGUCCAGCUUUGGUCCAUGUACCAAAACAACGAAGAUCUAAAAUUGAUCCAAAGUCAUUAGAAUGUAUCAUGGUUGGAUACAGCACGGAAAGUAAAGCGUAUCGAUUAUUUGAUCCAAGUGAUCAAAAAAUAAUUGUUAGCCGUGACGUGGUAUUUCUUGAAAAUGUUCACUCAAACAUUGAAACGCCAUCUUCUAAUCUGUACAAUCCUUUGCUAAUUCAAUCUCCAGAUGAAGAAAUGGAUAAUGUUUUGAACCAAACAGUGAAUAAUGUAUCAACGAAUAUGGAGUCAACCGAAUUGGAUGGCAAUAAUGUAAUUCAAAAUGAGCCUCGUAGUGAUUCUGAAACUGAUAGUGAGUUUUUGGAUCCAGAAUGUUUUGAUAACAAUGGCUAUGUGGACCCAAAUGAUGAAGAAUGGGAACCAAAUCAAUGUAAUUCACGACCAAUACCAACGUCUGAAAAUAUUAGAAGAUCAGAAAGGAUAGCAAACCGUAAUCAACGAUCAACGGCAUUUUCUGCAAUAGAAUAUGUUUCUUCAGACCCCCAGACUAUAAAACAGGCAAUGUCGUCUGAAGAUUCUGAACAUUGGAAAAAAGCCAUGCAAGAUGAAAUGAAUUCUUUGAAAGUCAAUAAUACUUGGACUUUGGUUCAACUUCCUGAAGGAUGCAAAGCUCUGAAGUCAAAAUGGGUGUUCAAGACCAAGCAAGAUUCCAAUGGAAACACGUUGCGAUGGAAAGCAAGACUAGUCGCAAAGGGAUUUACACAGACUGAAGGUAUCGAUUAUAUGGAAACAUUCUCUCCAGUUGUUCGGUAUGAAUCAAUAAGGUAUUUAGCAGCAUUGGCAGCAAAAUAUGACAUGAAGAUUCAUCAGAUGGAUGCCGUUAGCGCUUAUUUAAACGGGAUUUUAAAAGAAACCAUAUAUAUGGAACAACCCGAAGGUUUCCGUGAUGCUUCUAAUAAAGUCUGUAAGCUUAACAGAUCCAUAUACGGCUUGAAACAAUCUGGGAGAGUAUGGAAUGAAACCAUAAACAAGGAACUUAUCGAUAUGGGUUUUGUACAAGGAGAAGUGGAUCAAUGCGUAUAUUCAAAGGUGACAGAUGAAAAGAAGAUUUAUAUUGCAAUAUACGUAGAUGAUGUAAUUAUAUUCUCCAAUGACGAAAACGAAAUAAAUUCUGUCAAGAAUACACUUUCAAGAACAUUUAAAAUGAAAGACAUGGGGGAAGUGUCUAAUGUUCUUGGUAUGACAAUAUCCCGAACUGAAGAUGGAAUCAAAAUUGAUCAGUCUAAGUACAUAUCAGAUGUAUUGACACGUUUCGGAAUGAAUGACUGUAACCCUUCCUCAACUCCAAUGGACUAUAAUAAGAAGUUAUACGAAAGUAUGUCCCCUAAAACCGAAGUUGAAAAGGAAAAAAUGUCGAAAACACCGUAUAUGGAAGCUAUUGGGUGCUUGUUGUACGCUGCUCAGGUUUCGCGCCCUGAUAUAUACUAUGCUGUGAAUAUCCUGAGCCGAUUCGGAAUAAAUCCUGGUAGAGCGCAUUGGGAAGCUGUAAAAAGAAUAAUGCGUUAUCUCAAAGGAACUAUAGAACAAGGGCUCAUCUAUAAGAAAAAUUUAGAAGAAGAUAUUACCGGCUAUUGCGAUGCAGAUUGGGCUGGAAGUUUGGACGACCGCCAUUCGACAACUGGUUAUGUCUUUAUUUUUCAAUCAGCAGCAAUAUCCUGGUCCACAAAAAGACAAAAAACGGUGGCACUAUCUUCAACGGAAGCUGAGUUCAUGGCAAUAACUGCAGCUAUACAGGAGUCUGUUUGGUUGAAACGACUAGAAAAAGAACUCAAUCCCAACAACAAUGUCAACAUGGUUUUGUAUUGUGAUAACAAAGGAGCUAUACAAGUGGCUACAAAUAACAAGUAUUCGUCAAGGACAAAGCAUGUGGAUAUUAAAGCCAAAUUUAUCAAACAGAAAAUUGACAACAAUGAAAUAUCUUUGAAGUAUCUUUCAACAAAAGAAAUGGUUGCUGACGUUUUUACCAAGGCAGUAACUCCACAGAAGUUGGAAUAUUUUAAAGGAGUUUUUGGCAUUGCUUAGUUUCCAACUUGUAUUGUUUUGUAAUUAUAAUGUAAGAAAUAUUUAAUUCAGGUAGAGUGUUGAGAAUUGAAUCAAAUAUUGUACUUUAGCAUAAAACACUUUGUCCAAUAUUAUUAACAUAAUCUUAAUAGGCUUUGAUAUCAAUAUGUUUGUUGUCAAAUAUGUAUUCUCAGUUUUUUCAGUUCAAUAAACGAAUUCAAUUAUAACAGUUUUUUUCUAAUUGUUUAAUCUUUCUCUUUUUUUUUUUUUAACGGAAUAUCUAACACCAGUUUAGCGAGAGACUAUUGCUUUUUAUUCACGCAAAUUUUAUUACCAAAUGCCUACCCUAAGAGAGCUCGCUUAAGAUGGUUAUUCCUGGGCCAAAAUGAACAAUUCUAAUACCCGACCUCUCUGAAAUCGCACACAAACUUGUGAUUACUAUCCUGGCGUUAAAAAUCCUUACAGUUGAAAUCACUUAAACUCUAGGACAUACACAAAGACAACACAAUUUUAACACUAAAUACAUAUACGUUGUUUAAUGGUUAAUUAAUUAUUAAAAUUUAGGCUUGUUUGACAAUUGCAUCUUAAUUGAUGUCUUUUUUUAAAAACAUUAAAAUUUUCUUCUUUUCUUGUUUUGCAGGAAACCGCCGACGCACUCUUAGCCCCUUUGUUAUAUAUCUUAUAAAAUUCAAAUUCUAAGGGUUACCUUGCGCUCCAGCCUUGAAUGUGUGGCAAUUGGUAAUACCUUAACCCCGAUGCACACUGACUAAUCCAAACCAACGCACAGGUAUCGUAGUGACUGGCAAUUGGUGGAUAAGGCUGACACUACCGGCACUUCAAUUUUUCUAUAGAAAGGAUGAUGAUGCGGGUGAUGCUUCCUAGUAAUUUGCUGCCACAACCCCAAAAUUACGGUAGAAAUACUGGGUGAAAGACGAAUCACUGGCCCCACUUCUGGAAUACCUGAGGCCAGUAAUGUUGGUGAUUAUGUUCAGGAAAUUCUAUGGCACAACAAACUUGCGCAAUUCUUUUCCGGGUAUGUAUUUAUUCCCUUAAUAAUAAUAGUAUUUUUUCUCUUUUUUUUUGGUGCGCCGCCACUAACUUUGAACAUCGCCGCCCUCAACUGACCCGCCCACGCAACAGACUUUAGGACUGAUAUUAGCCAUUUGGUUUAUAAUUAACCCGAAAUCGGUUGAAGAUAUAUAUGGGACCUAUAUCCAAAUCUGAACCGAUCUUAAUAAAAUUUGGCAGAGAUAUUUCUGGGCUGUAUCUAGUAACUGGUACCAAAGAUCAUUGUUGUGGAAUGCAUAUUACGCUUGUGAGGGACUUUGAACUACAAAUCGAGGGACUUAAAACCCCAAAUCGGAUGAAACAUAUACAGGGUUGCCUAUAUUCGACGGACCCAUCUGGCAACGCCAUAACUUUUGACAGAGAUGUCACAUCGCGUAAUGACAUACCGCGUUUGAAGCGUCAGUCCAAGCAGGUUUUUACCAUGAGCGCUCUGAAAUAGUUGAAAUUCACAUUCAACAGAAAAAGUCAAUAGUGAAAACUCAACGUGCUUUUAAAACAUUAAAAAAUGUGAGAAGUGCGCCUUCUAAGGGACCGUAAAUAAGCAAACUUGCCGUUUUUUAUGCCACUGAAAAUCCUCAGGAUUUUCGCAUAACAAAACAUGGGUCCGUCGAAUAUGGGCAACCCUGUAUAUGGGAGCUAUAGCUAUAUCUGAACCGAUUUUCUCCAAAUUUGAUUUACUUGCUUGUGAUUGAAUUCGGUGGGAUGUACCAAAAUAGAGAAAUCGGUUGAAGGUAUGUGGGAGCUUUAUCUAAAUCUGAUCCGAUUAUUAUUUUUUACACGAACUUCUAUCUGUUUUACCCGAAGAUCUGUCUAUGGUAUACAUUUCAAACACAGACUCCAACAUAAUUGUAUUUUUUCCCAUUUUCUUCGGAAUUUAACACCUUUUUCUGGUUGCGCCUCUACUUGCACGUUUACGUUGCAUUUACGUGUACGUAAACGGUACGUACGCAUGUUACUAGUUUCACUAAUCACGAUUUGAUUUUGCAAAAACAAUUGUUGAAUUUGCAUUAGCGGCUGAUGAUGGGUGAUAGGAGAACUCGAAUUGUCAUUCAAAGAUAAAUAAACGUUGGUUGGCUGCUGAAAAGAAUACACGUAUAGCCGGGAGAGAGGCUAGUGAACCCUACAACAUACCAGACGUGCUGUUUUAAGUUUCUAUUAAAAAUUAUUUAAAAAAAGUUAGAAUCAUAAGAAAAAGACCUCCAAAUUGCAUAAUUUUGCAAUGGAGGAUCCCGAUUCUCUUCCCCCCGACAUGGAGUUUGAUGUCACGGAAGAGAUCGCAUCAACCUCCAAACAAUUGCCGGCUUUUGCAAACUCCACUAGUAUGCAAGAAAACAAGACAAAACAGAACGAACGCAAGAGACUGCGCCUAGAAAGUGCAAUAUCAUCAAUAAAUGUAUCGGAUCUGGCUGAGAAAUUAACCAACUACAACCCGCAGGACCAAAACAAAUUUGGCAUUUUGGGGGCAUUGGCAGACAUUGACAUUUCCACACCUGUCAGCAAUCCGACCACAACCAAAAUCAAUGUUCCUCCAAAACCAAAAAUCUCUUGGUGCCCACCGAUUUUUACAUACAAUGUCAACAUAAACUCUCUAGUAGAGUCAUUACGUGCCGCAUCCCCACAGUGCAAUUUUAAAAUUAAAAAUAUAAAUAAAAACAAAAGUAACUUGUACUUUGCAGAUUCUAAAGUUCAUGCCUCAAUGAUGGAUCUUUUAAAGUCAAAAAAUAUUCAGUCAUACUCUUUCACACCCAAGGAUCAAAAGCAGACAUCCCUGAUAAUCCGAAACCUCUUCUCUCUAACUGAACCAGAAGCAAUUAAAAACGAACUAGAUCAGUUAGUUCCUGAAACAGUGGCCAGUGUCUCAAAAUUUAGAACACCGACAUCAAUUAAAAACAACACUGAUACGGGUCUUUUCUUAGUUUGCUUAUUGCCAGGAAAGAAGUUUGGCGAAAUUUCACAUAUUCGCCAACUGCAAUACCAAUCCAUAAUCUGGGAGAAACCCAAAAAAAGGGAUACCUUUGUCCAAUGCCGAAGAUGUCAAGGGCACGGACAUAUAGCACGUAAUUGCAAUUGCUCUUACAGAUGCGUUAAAUGUAAAGACAAACAUCUUCCUGGAGAAUGUAAACGGUCCAAGACAGACACCUCGGAACCUUACUGUGUUAAUUGCGAAAAAACAGGUCAUCCCGCCAACUGGCGAGGAUGUCCCUCCUAUAAAAAAUAUGCCUCCGACAGGAAAAAAAAGAUGGCAGUAGCAUUAGAAAACAGAGCUCUAGCUCAAAACAAUGUAUCAAAAGCAUUAAACACAUCCAAAUAUUCACCGGAAAAAACUUUUUCAAACUUAUUUAAAAGUGUCACAUCUAUUCCCCAAGAUUCAACCAAAAAACCACAAAUAAUUCAAGACUUCCUUAAGCUAGCAAAUCUUUUUUUGGAACCUGAAGAGCUGACCUUAGAGCAAGAAAUUCAAAUAUUCCUAACAGAAUAUAAAAACUUGUCAAAAACCGAAGCAAAAAAACAAUUUUUAAUGCUUCUUAAUAAAGUUAAAUUGAAUUAUGGACCAUAGAUCACUAAAA
Musca domestica (house fly) is the source of this 7682-nucleotide RNA transcript. It is a transcript of the gene named tubulin monoglutamylase TTLL4, with no coding region annotated. The record is from RefSeq and is a predicted model, not a curated record. The transcript has 2 exons. NCBI's taxonomy places the organism in Eukaryota, Metazoa, Arthropoda, Insecta, Diptera, Muscidae.